Molecule: long non-coding RNA, 986 nt
Organism: Ziziphus jujuba (common jujube)
Lineage: Eukaryota; Viridiplantae; Streptophyta; Magnoliopsida; Rosales; Rhamnaceae
Exons: 2
Source: RefSeq, a predicted model, not a curated record
GUUCCACUCUAAUACGAGUAUGUAAAAUAGCUAUAUGACAGUUUUUGUUGGAAAGCUUGUAGUAGGAAAAACACAAUUAUAUGAUGAAAACUCAGGGCCUGUUCUAGCAGUCUAUAUGCCUACUCAAGAGACAAAAACAAGAUGUUCCUUUUGAAUUGGGUAAAAGAAACGACUUUAACUUGAGGAGAAAAAGAGCUCCUGAGCAUCUGAAAAACUCUUCUGCAACUAAGAAUGCCAAAGUAAAGAGCUAUAUAUGCUGAUCUGAAGUGACAUAUCCUACACCAACAAGCUCUCUCUCUCUCAAAUUAUAGUGCAAUUUUUUCAAGUGUAAGGUACAAAUCAAAAAUUCGGCAGGGAUCUUAAAUUCUGGAUCUUAAAUUGUACUGUUGCUUGUGGGGAAAAAAAGGAAAAUUAUUGAUUUGAUUGUUUUAUAUAUGGCCCUUUUGAUAUACAUCACAGAAUUACAUUCAAAACUAGUUAUGAUGUCUAUCUGGUUGAUGAAUUCAUUCAAGUAUAUGAUUUUCCUCCGGUAGGCCGUACACUACCCACCCCACAUAUAUAUAUUUAUAUGAAGGGAAAUCAUCAUUUUUUUUUUUUUUCCUCUUAUGUGAGUGCAGGUCACAUUUCUUAUCUUCUUAGCCAAAAAAACAAAAACAAAAACAAAAAAAAAAAAAAAAAAUGGUUUUUAGCUUUGCUUCACCUUGCACCUUCGGCACCACAGAAUAUUAUGCAGUGUCAAUAUGGGUCCAAAGGGGUAGCAACUUCUUCGUUCCUUCCAAAUGUUUUUACUCAGCUAAGUUGUAAUCUGUGAAUUAUAAGACCGUCUGGAUCAAGCUAAAGAAUAAUUUUCAUUGUAAUAAUGUUUUUGUAUAAAGAUAAGGAAAGUACAUAUUAUGUAACAAACAAAAUAGUUGUCAAGUUUAUAGAAUUUUCGUGUAGUUACUCUAAUUUUACUUGGUAACAUUGCCAAGACAAUGUUUUAUUUA